This 302-nucleotide ribosomal RNA is filed under the name uncultured bacterium. RNAcentral describes it as "partial 16S ribosomal RNA". It matches the Rfam family "Bacterial small subunit ribosomal RNA", at positions 508 to 807 of the family's 1533-position model. The record is from RNAcentral.
GCAGUAGCCGCGGGAAUACGGAGGGUGCAAGCGUUAUCCGGAUUUAUUGGGUUUAAAGGGUCCGUAGGCGGAUCUGUAAGUCAGUGGUGAAAUCUCACAGCUUAACUGUGAAACUGCCAUUGAUACUGCAGGUCUUGAGUAAAUUUGAAGUGGCUGGAAUAAGUAGUGUAGCGGUGAAAUGCAUAGAUAUUACUUAGAACACCAAUUGCGAAGGCAGGUCACUAAGAUUUAACUGACGCUGAUGGACGAAAGCGUGGGGAGCGAACAGGAUUAGAUACCCCAGUAGUCCCUGUCUCUUAUAC